UCAUCCUUUUGUUUGGGGAAUUCAGUUACAAGUGACAACACUGUUGGAGGAGGGUCUAAACAUCUCUAGGUUGUGCGUCAGCAACACAGUAUUUGGAGAAGAGAAAAGGCUGAUUUAAAACUGCAGGAACCAAUACAGGCGAUCCCGCCCUCUCCUUUCAACGAGAAUCACCAUGAAAGCAGGUGGCUGGGGGUGGAGGCUGGUGGUAGAGUCUGAGGACUGAGGUGGCGGCUGGAGGUAGAGGCUGGAGGGGGCGAAGAGUGAGCCAGUGGUUUUAUUAGCAGUGCUAAUAUGCUUAGCGCUCCUGGGGCCUGGGAUCACAUAGCGGAGCAGCAGUUGUUACCGAAGCUUGAGAGCCAGUGUGUAGAGGCUGGCCAUAGAGGCCCAGCCAUGUGUGUCUAAUGAUGUCUCCCGGUGAUGACGGCACUGAUUAUGGUCCCGUGCUCUCAUCAGGCUGAGGAAUGAGGGUUGACAGCUCAUUGGUCGAUGAGUAGCCACCCUUUGCCAUGAUGGUAGCUUUGCAAACUCUUGGCCUUCUCUCAACCAGCUUCAUGAGGAAUGUUUUUACAAAAGUCUUGAAGGAGUUCCCACACAUGCUGAGCACUUGUUGGCUGCUUUUCCUUUACUCUGUGGUCCAACUCAUCCCAAACCAUCUCAAUUGGGUUGAGGUUGGGUGAUUGUGGAGGCCAGGUCAUCUGAUGCAGCACUCCAUCACUCUCCUUCUUGGUCAAAUAGCCCUUACACAGCCUGGACGUGUGUUUAGUCAUUGUCCUGUUGAAAAACAAAUGAUAGUCCCACUAAGCGCAAACCAGAUGGGAUGGCGUAUCACUGCAGAAUGCAGUGGUAGCCAUGCUGGUUAAGUGUGCCUUGAAUUCUAAAUAAAUCACAGACAUUGUCACCAGCAAAGCAACCCCACACCAUCACACCUCCUCCUUGAUGCUUCACGGUGGGAACAACACAUCCGGAGAUCAUCCGUUCACCUACUUUGCAUCUCACAAAGACAUGACGGUUGGAACAAAAAAUCUCAAAUUUGGACUCAUCAGACCAAAGGAUAGAUUUCCACCGGUCUAAUGUCCAUUGCUUGUGUUUCUUGACCCAAGCAAGUCUCUUCUUCUUAUUGGUGUCCUUUAGUAGUAGUUUCUUUGCAGCAAUUCACUCAUGAAGGGCUGAUUCACGCAGUCUCCUCUGAACAGUUGAUGUUGAGAUGUGUCUGUAAGCAUUUAUUUGGGCUGCAAUCUGAGGUGUAGUUAACUUUAAUGAACUUAUCCUCUGCAGCAGAGGUAACUCUGGGUCUUCCUUUCCUGUGGAGGUCCUCAUGACGAUCCCUACUGUAUAGCCUACAGUAACAGAACGGUAUGAGGCCUCCACUUGUGCACUGUCUGUGCCUCUGUAACAGGGUUGGUUGUGUUUCCAAUUGACACUGCAGAAACAUGUAUUUAAUGUUUAUGUAUUUCUAUUGGUUGGAGGGAAUUUAUAAAUCUCAAAUCUUGCCAGUCUGAUAUUGACAUGCUGUUACAUCUGCUCCUGCCACGCCCUCUACUGCUCAUCCUGUGUCUCCUUGACCUGCCACCACUCCCCCAGUGCUCUCUCCCUCUCCCUCUCUCUCUCUCUGUGUGAUUGUGUGGGUGGAGACAGGUGUGCUGGAGUCAGAGUAGGUCCCCAACAGCUGCAACCUGUUCCAUAAUCAAGACCUCUACAAAUACUCAGUCCUGACACUUUCACACUGACAGAUCGUAAUCUCUGCUGAGUCAAUUUCUGCCCACUCUGACUCUGGUUCCUGUCUCCAGUCCCAUGUCUCCUCAUCCUGCUACUCUGCCCUGGAUUUCCCACUCUACUUCUCCCUUGGAUACCCCUUCGGACCUGCCUACCCUGUCCCAACCCCUCUCGCUCCAGCCUCAGCCUCCGCACCUGGUUUUCUGCAACUCGCCCGAGCUUCCCCCGGCCUGCACUCCAUCUUCCCCCUGUGUUUCAAUAAAUACCUUGGUUACUUCAUCCCAGUCUCCUCGUCUGAAUCUGCUCUUGGGUUUCCCUGUUCCACUCCGCGUAACACACGCUAGGU
This is a long non-coding RNA of Oncorhynchus tshawytscha (Chinook salmon), 2059 nucleotides long. Lineage: Eukaryota; Metazoa; Chordata; Actinopteri; Salmoniformes; Salmonidae. The record is from Ensembl.